This is a non-coding RNA of Pseudoneurospora amorphoporcata, 95 nucleotides long. The record is from the annotation of a GenBank genome assembly. NCBI's taxonomy places the organism in Eukaryota, Fungi, Ascomycota, Sordariomycetes, Sordariales, Sordariaceae.
GGGCGGAUAGUUCAGUGGUAGAAUAUCUGUUUUGCAAUGUCUUGUUUUCCCUAAGUGCUGCUCUUACAGACCGUGUUCAAACCAUGGUUUGUCCA